AGUUUGAUCAUGGCUCAGAUUGAACGCUGGCGGAAUGCUUUACACAUGCAAGUCGAACGGCAGCACGGACUUCGGUCUGGUGGCGAGUGGCGAACGGGUGAGUAAUAUAUCGGAACGUGCCCAGUCGUGGGGGAUAACGUAGUGAAAAUUACGCUAAUACCGCAUACGAUCUAUGGAUGAAAGCGGGGGACUCGCAAGAGCCUCGCGCGAUUGGAGCGGCCGAUAUCAGAUUAGGUAGUUGGUGAGGUAAAGGCUCACCAAGCCCGCGAUCUGUAGCUGGUCUGAGAGGACGACCAGCCACACUGGAACUGAGACACGGUCCAGACUCCUACGGGAGGCAGCAGUGGGGAAUUUUGGACAAUGGACGAAAGUCUGAUCCAGCCAUUCCGCGUGCAGGAUGAAGGCCCUCGGGUUGUAAACUGCUUUUGUACGGAACGAAAAGGUCUCUCCUAAUACGAGAGGCUCAUGACGGUACCGUAAGAAUAAGCACCGGCUAACUACGUGCCAGCAGCCGCGGUAAUACGUAGGGUGCAAGCGUUAAUCGGAAUUACUGGGCGUAAAGCGUGCGCAGGCGGUUAUAUAAGACAGAUGUGAAAUCCCCGGGCUCAACCUGGGAACUGCAUUUGUGACUGUAUAGCUAGAGUACGGUAGAGGGGGAUGGAAUUCCGCGUGUAGCAGUGAAAUGCGUAGAUAUGCGGAGGAACACCGAUGGCGAAGGCAAUCCCCUGGACCUGUACUGACGCUCAUGCACGAAAGCGUGGGGAGCAAACAGGAUUAGAUACCCUGGUAGUCCACGCCCUAAACGAUGUCAACUGGUUGUUGGGUCUUAACUGACUCAGUAACGAAGCUAACGCGUGAAGUUGACCGCCUGGGGAGUACGGCCGNCAGGGUGAAACUCAAGGAAUUGACGGGGACCC
This 917-nucleotide ribosomal RNA is filed under the name uncultured bacterium. RNAcentral describes it as "bacterial SSU rRNA". It matches the Rfam family "Bacterial small subunit ribosomal RNA", at positions 10 to 922 of the family's 1533-position model. The record is from RNAcentral.